Molecule: ribosomal RNA, 406 nt
Filed under: uncultured bacterium
Lineage: Bacteria
Description: partial 16S ribosomal RNA
Rfam family: Bacterial small subunit ribosomal RNA
Source: RNAcentral
AUUGAACGCUGGCGGCAGGCCUAACACAUGCAAGUCGAACGAGUGGCGGACGGGUGAGUAAUGCAUGGGAAACUGCCUGAUGGAGGGGGAUAACUACUGGAAACGGUAGCUAAUACCGCAUACCAUCGGAUGACGCCAGAUGGGAUUGGCUGGUAGGUGGGGUAAAGGCUCACCUAGGCGACGAUACCUAUCGGGUCUGAGAGGAGGACCGGCCACAUGGGAACGGAGAACCGGUCCAGACUCCUACGGGAGGCAGAAGUGGGGAAUAUUGCACAAUGGGCGCAAGCCUGAUGCAGCCAUGCCGCGUGUAUGAAGAAGGCCUUCGGGUGGUAAUGUACGUUCAGCGGGGAGGCGUUACCCGCAGAAGAAGCACCGGCUAACUCCGUGCCAGCAGCCGCGGUAAUAC